Long non-coding RNA from Nymphaea colorata (pocket water lily), 989 nucleotides. RefSeq lists it as uncharacterized. NCBI's taxonomy places the organism in Eukaryota, Viridiplantae, Streptophyta, Magnoliopsida, Nymphaeales, Nymphaeaceae. The record is from RefSeq and is a predicted model, not a curated record. The transcript is spliced from 3 exons.
UCCUUCUCAUUCUCACAGACUGAAGAGGGCAAUCGAGUGAAGAGGGGACGCCGGACGGACGAGCGGUGAGAGGGGUCGACAGGAGUCGCCGGAGGCUGACGUGAAUCGCGAUCGUCUCCUUCAUCUCCUUCUCGUUCUCAUUCGACUGAAGAGCUGAUUAAGUUUGGCAUCUAUUUACGACAACUGUAAAUUCUGCAACUGUGGCAUGAAACAGUCGACAUCAAAAUCAAAGCACUCAAACUCUGACUGCUCAGGGACAUCAAAAAAUUCAUCAGCUGCAUCAUUCAAUUGAACAAAAGAGCCAGCCAGCCAGACAUGCUGGUUUGACGUAUCACGUAUGCCGCUUCCUGUGAUUCUUCUGCCUGCGAAUCCUCACUUUCCACAGCCUGAAUUCUUGAAGAUCGCGGUUAAAUUUUGUCCGCCUGUUCAGACUGUGAGAGCCAACCAGAAUGCUAAAUUUAUAAUGCAAAAUUUUGUCUAGCUAUUCACAGCAGAUGCCUCUGGGGUUCAUUGUCAUGCUGAGAGAACAUGUGUAAAGUGAUGCAACAUAUGCAUACUUAACCUUCACGUCGCAUGCAUUAUUUCAUGCAAAUGAAGGAAGAUGGUCAGAAAGAAACAAGAGAAAGAGGUUCCCGCUAGAGGAAGGAAGAAGAGUGGAGGUUGCCGGUGAAGAAAGCUUGGCAUUGAAGCAAAAAUGAUUGGAAUAGCAACAAAUGGAAAGAACAGUGAAUUCACAAGUUUUUUUGUUUGUAGACAUUAAAUGACAAAGGUAAUGGCUUUUACAAGGAUUUUUUCGAUGGUUGGACAUUCGAAGAAAUCAAAAGAGCAGUUCCUGAUGAACUGAAGGCAAAGGUGAUGACAAAGCUUAAAAAGAAGAAAUGUUGAUGCAACAAAUAAUGAAUGCUCCAGUUCAUGUGGGAGAUAAUGUUACAGACAAAAUAACGAGUGCAUCCCAGUCCAUGUGAUAGAUAAUGUUACAAUGUAAUGGG